AAACUCAAAGGAAUUGACGGGGACCCGCACAAGCGGUGGAGCAUGUGGUUUAAUUCGAAGCAACGCGAAGAACCUUACCAAAUCUUGACAUCCUUUGACAACUCUAGAGAUAGAGCCUUCUCCUUCGGGGGACAAAGUGACAGGUGGUGCAUUGUUGUUGUCUGCUCGUGUCGUGAGAUGUUGGGUUAAGUCCCGCAACGACCGCAACCCUUAAGCUUAGUUGCCAUAAUUAAGUUGGGCAAACUAAGUUGACUGCCGGUGACAAACCGGAGGCCGGUCCCGAUGACGUCAAUUCAUCAUGGUCGUUAUGAUUUGGGCUACACACGUGCUACGAUGGACAAUACAAAGAGAAGCGACCUCUCGAGGUCAUCCAUAUCCCAUAAAGUUGUUCUUCGUUCGGAUUGUAGUCUGCAACUGGACUACAUUAAGCUGGAAUCACUUGUAAUCGUAGAUGAGUAUGCUACGGUGAAUUCUUUCUCUGGUAUUGUACACACCGCCCGU
RNAcentral lists this ribosomal RNA (501 nucleotides) under Staphylococcus aureus. Its description in RNAcentral is "bacterial SSU rRNA". It matches the Rfam family "Bacterial small subunit ribosomal RNA", at positions 897 to 1397 of the family's 1533-position model. Lineage: Bacteria; Bacillati; Bacillota; Bacilli; Caryophanales; Staphylococcaceae. The record is from RNAcentral.